UACGAAGGGGGCUAGCGUUGCUCGGAUUGACUGGGCGUAAAGCGCACGUAGGCGGAUCGAUCAGCCAGGGGUGAAAUCCCAGAGCUCAACUCUGGAACUGCCUUUGAUACUGUCGAUCUGGAGUAUGGAAGAGGUAAGUGGAAUUCCGAGUGUAGAGGUGAAAUUCGUAGAUAUUCGGAGGAACACCAGUGGCGAAGGCGGCUCGCUGGACCACAACUGACGCUGAGGCGCGAAAGCUAGGGGAGCAAACAGG
RNAcentral lists this ribosomal RNA (253 nucleotides) under uncultured prokaryote. Its description in RNAcentral is "partial 16S ribosomal RNA". It matches the Rfam family "Bacterial small subunit ribosomal RNA", at positions 524 to 776 of the family's 1533-position model. The record is from RNAcentral.